AGAGUUAAACAGUACGUGAAAUUGUUAAAAGGGAAACGAAUGAGACCAGUAAUCCGGGCAGUUAAUCAGCCACUGGGGCGUAAUUCGCAGGGUCAGUAGAGCGCAAGCCUGCUGAUUUUGUGUUGUUGCGUCAUUUUGGUGCACUUUGCUGUUUGGGAAUCAACAUCAGUUUGAAUUGAUGGAAAAGGGGUACUAGGAGGUAGCCAUUUCGGUGGUGUUUAACUAGUAUUCGUAUACAUUGAAUUAGACUGAGGACUGCAGGGUGCCCUUUAAUUAGGGAAGGGCUCACUUGGCGCUGCUGAAUUCAAAGCUUUAGGCCAACUUGUUGACUGAGGCUUUGCUGUUUGGCAACUCGUCGGGUUCUGCUACAUACACCCUUAGGAUGUUGAUGAAAUGGUCUUAUCCGACC
This 409-nucleotide non-coding RNA is filed under the name uncultured fungus. RNAcentral also lists the same sequence under 1 other name. The record is from RNAcentral. Lineage: Eukaryota; Fungi.